ACGGGAGACACACGGCGGGUGCUAACGUCCGUCGUGAAGAGGGAAACAACCCAGACCGCCAGCUAAGGUCCCAAAGUCAUGGUUAAGUGGGAAACGAUGUGGGAAGGCCCAGACAGCCAGGAUGUUGGCUUAGAAGCAGCCAUCAUUUAAAGAAAGCGUAAUAGCUCACUGGUCGAGUCGGCCUGCGCGGAAGAUGUAACGGGGCUAAACCAUGCACCGAAGCUGCGGCAGCGACGCUGAUGCGUUGUUGGGUAGGGGAGCGUUCUGUAAGCCUGCGAAGGUGUGCUGUGAGGCAUGCUGGAGGUAUCAGAAGUGCGAAUGCUGACAUAAGUAACGAUAAAGCGGGUGAAAAGCCCGCUCGCCGGAAGACCAAGGGUUCCUGUCCAACGUUAAUCGGGGCAGGGUGAGUCGACCCCUAAGGCGAGGCCGAAAGGCGUAGUCGAUGGGAAACAGGUUAAUAUUCCUGUACUUGGUGUUACUGCGAAGGGGGGACGGAGAAGGCUAUGUUGGCCGGGCGACGGUUGUCCCGGUUUAAGCGUGUAGGCUGGUUUUCCAGGCAAAUCCGGAAAAUCAAGGCUGAGGCGUGAUGACGAGGCACUACGGUGCUGAAGCAACAAAUGCCCUGCUUCCAGGAAAAGCCUCUAAGCAUCAGGUAACAUCAAAUCGUACCCCAAACCGACACAGGUGGUCAGGUAGAGAAUACCAAGGCGCUUGAGAGAACUCGGGUGAAGGAACUAGGCAAAAUGGUGCCGUAACUUCGGGAGAAGGCACGCUGAUAUGUAGGUGAAGUCCCUCGCGGAUGGAGCUGAAAUCAGUCGAAGAUACCAGCUGGCUGCAACUGUUUAUUAAAAACACAGCACUGUGCAAACACGAAAGUGGACGUAUACGGUGUGACGCCUGCCCGGUGCCGGAAGGUUAAUUGAUGGGGUUAGCGCAAGCGAAGCUCUUGAUCGAAGCCCCGGUAAACGGCGGCCGUAACUAUAACGGUCCUAAGGUAGCGAAAUUCCUUGUCGGGUAAGUUCCGACCUGCACGAAUGGCGUAAUGAUGGCCAGGCUGUCUCCACCCGAGACUCAGUGAAAUUGAACUCGCUGUGAAGAUGCAGUGUACCCGCGGCAAGACGGAAAGACCCCGUGAACCUUUACUAUAGCUUGACACUGAACAUUGAGCCUUGAUGUGUAGGAUAGGUGGGAGGCUUUGAAGUGUGGACGCCAGUCUGCAUGGAGCCGACCUUGAAAUACCACCCUUUAAUGUUUGAUGUUCUAACGUGGACCCGUAAUCCGGGUUGCGGACAGUGUCUGGUGGGUAGUUUGACUGGGGCGGUCUCCUCCUAAAGAGUAACGGAGGAGCACGAAGGUUGGCUAAUCCUGGUCGGACAUCAGGAGGUUAGUGCAAUGGCAUAAGCCAGCUUGACUGCGAGCGUGACGGCGCGAGCAGGUGCGAAAGCAGGUCAUAGUGAUCCGGUGGUUCUGAAUGGAAGGGCCAUCGCUCAACGGAUAAAAGGUACUCCGGGGAUAACAGGCUGAUACCGCCCAAGAGUUCAUAUCGACGGCGGUGUUUGGCACCUCGAUGUCGGCUCAUCACAUCCUGGGGCUGAAGUAGGUCCCAAGGGUAUGGCUGUUCGCCAUUUAAAGUGGUACGCGAGCUGGGUUUAGAACGUCGUGAGACAGUUCGGUCCCUAUCUGCCGUGGGCGCUGGAGAACUGAGGGGGGCUGCUCCUAGUACGAGAGGACCGGAGUGGACGCAUCACUGGUGUUCGGGUUGUCAUGCCAAUGGCACUGCCCGGUAGCUAAAUGCGGAAGAGAUAAGUGCUGAAAGCAUCUAAGCACGAAACUUGCCCCGAGAUGAGUUCUCCCUGACUCCUUGAGAGUCCUGAAGGAACGUUGAAGACGACGACGUUGAUAGGCCGGGUGUGUAAGCGCAGCGAUGCGUUGAGCUAACCGGUACUAAUGAACCGUGAG
RNAcentral lists this ribosomal RNA (1959 nucleotides) under Escherichia coli. RNAcentral describes it as "partial 23S ribosomal RNA". It matches the Rfam family "Bacterial large subunit ribosomal RNA", at positions 977 to 2915 of the family's 2925-position model. The record is from RNAcentral. Lineage: Bacteria; Pseudomonadati; Pseudomonadota; Gammaproteobacteria; Enterobacterales; Enterobacteriaceae.